This is a long non-coding RNA of Gadus macrocephalus (Pacific cod), 847 nucleotides long. RefSeq lists it as uncharacterized. The transcript is spliced from 2 exons. The record is from RefSeq and is a predicted model, not a curated record. NCBI's taxonomy places the organism in Eukaryota, Metazoa, Chordata, Actinopteri, Gadiformes, Gadidae.
GAAACACGUAACCUUAAAAACGGAUGGUACAACGAACAAACACCGCCGUGCAGAAACCGUUCCGUCGCUCGGGUUCCUCAGGUCGCUUCGGUAAACCUGGCGGUCACCGGUGUCAAACAUCUACGUUAUCAAACGUGUUCAAAGUUCCUCCCCGGACUCGACUGUCGGGCCGGCCGGUUCUGCUCAACCGAUACUGAACCGGGCCAUUCACGAUGGGGAUCAUCCGGAUAUUAUUCUCUCUCCUCAAUAACCCGCGGGUCAUCGAGAAGUUGGCUGAAUCCCGCAUUAUACGGCGGGCGGCUCAGAUCACCGCCUACGCGCUGACCAAAGCUCAGAUCGCGGGCAGGGACGCGUCGGAUCGGAUCCUCAGCUCCAGCGCGGUGCGGGGGGAAGCCGGCAGGACCCCCGGAGACACGGGGGAGAUGGGCGCUCUCUUCAGGAGACUGCGAGAAACAUUUAUUAAAGAGCUCAAAGAAGGAUGGAGAGACGCUUCCAAACAGAUCAAGAAAUGAAGACUUUAACGUUCUGCGUUCACUCGGUGGACUGACCAGAGCAAUGUGUAGGUUCUCCUUCCCUGCACCGCCUCAUCAGGUGGUCUACCGCCAGGCCUCGGACUUUAUGAGAUGUGGGAUAUAAGGGUGUAAAUAAUGACCUCACUGGAAAGUAUGCCAACCUUUGGUCUUCCAACAGCCAAAAUGAUUGAUACUAUUUAUAUUGUAUAAGUUAUUGCAGUAUUUUCAGUAUGUACAUACAAAUAUACCUUGUGUUAUUGACUCGGAUUUAAUUUCUCAUUUAAAUAAAGUAUGUAAUGCUGUUCAGGCCAUAGCCAUAUUGGUGUAAACUUUAA